Molecule: ribosomal RNA, 859 nt
Filed under: uncultured bacterium
Lineage: Bacteria
Description: bacterial SSU rRNA
Rfam family: Bacterial small subunit ribosomal RNA
Source: RNAcentral
AGAGUGAACGCUGGCGGCGUGCUUAACACAUGCAAGUCGAACGAGAACGGAUUUUAGCUUGCUAAAAUUGUCAGCUAAGUGGCGCACGGGUGAGUAAUAUAUAGGUAACAUGCCCCAAAGAAGAGGAUAACGUUUGGAAACGAACGCUAAUACUCUAUAUGCCUUUAAGUCAUAAGACUGCAAGGGAAAUAUUUAUAGCUUUGGGAUUGGCCUGUACGGUAUCAGCUAGUUGGUGAGGUAAGAGCUCACCAAGGCAAUGACACCUAACUGGUUUGAGAGGAUGAUCAGUCACACUGGAACUGAGACACGGUCCAGACUCCUACGGGAGGCAGCAGUGGGGAAUAUUGCACAAUGGACGAAAGUCUGAUGCAGCAACGCCGCGUGGAGGAUGACACAUUUCGGUGCGUAAACUCCUUUUAUAUGGGAAGAUAAUGACGGUACCAUAUGAAUAAGCACCGGCUAACUCCGUGCCAGCAGCCGCGGUAAUACGGAGGGUGCAAGCGUUACUCGGAAUCACUGGGCGUAAAGAGCAUGUAGGCGGUUAUUUAAGUCAGAAGUGAAAUCCAAUAGCUCAACUAUUGAACUGCUUUUGAAACUGAAUAACUAGAAUAUGGGAGAGGUAGAUGGAAUUUCUGGUGUAGGGGUAAAAUCCGUAGAGAUCAGAAGGAAUACCGAUUGCGAAGGCGAUCUACUGGAACAUUAUUGACGCUGAGAUGCGAAAGCGUGGGGAGCAAACAGGAUUAGAUACCCUGGUAGUCCACGCCCUAAACGAUGCACACUAGUUGUUGCUAUGCUAGACAUAGCAGUAAUGCAGUUAACACAUUAAGUGUGCCGCCUGGGGAGUACGGUCGCAAGAUUA